GAAUGAGUGGCAACAAUAUCUUCAGGGGUACCCACACAAGGGUGUCGCCCAGGAACAGGGCGACACCCUCGUAAAACGGGUACCGGAGAGGCUGACUCCAGCCUCUCCACAAAAACAUACUGACCCAACUGGAUCUUAUCACUAAGAAUAAGAUCAGUUUGGUCGUCAGGCAAACACACAUAAGUGGCAUGAACAGAAUCUGACACUUUUAUAUAAAACCCUUGGUUUUUAAAAAGCUCACCACCAGAUAAAGAUGGUACAAUGCUCACCACUUGUAACAAAGAUGAUCUGUGUUCACCACCAACUUUGACAUCAGUGUUCAUGUGUUGAAGCAGCUUUAACAACACACCAGGGACUAAAGUUGUCAUUUUUAUCAAUAAUUUCAAUAUGCAUCACUCAAAAAAUUAAUAUAAAACCAUAAAAAACCAAUAAGUUAACAGAAACCCAAGAUCAGGAUUCUUUGUGUGAGCUCAAGAAAGCAUUUAAUAAUCUGAAAAUUUUAAUUUACACCGACAAAAAAAAAUGUGAAUAAUAAAAAUAAUGAGAAUAAUAUUUAUAUUAGGUAUACCCACCAAGUAUUUUCAACUUAAUGAAUGGUGGGAAUAUGUAUAAUUUAUAUGGCGGCAGUUAAUAUUAAUAAGCAAUAAUGCAAUGAAACAGCAUACAUGAAGAAGAAGAAGAAGACAAAUGAUAUUGAUUGCAGUUGGUAAGGGAAAAAGGGAAGAUUGAUUAUUAGUUGAAGAGGGAUGAGUCUGCUUUUGGUAUACACAAAGAAAAAGAAUUAUGAAUUGGAGUGAUCUGAAGAUGGAAUGAAAGAAAGAAAGAAAGGGACCCAAUGAAGUGAUGGCUUCCAUCUUCUGUCGUCUGACAGUUUCUACUUUGUAACGUUGUGGAUACGAAUAUAGGAUAGCGGAUAGCUAUGAGUCGUUGAUGAAAACGAGUUAAAUGUAUGAUAAUGAUUGGUCUGUGUGGUUUGAAUGGAAGAUUUUACAUGGUUAGUCUUCAACUU
RNAcentral lists this long non-coding RNA (1009 nucleotides) under Helianthus annuus (common sunflower). RNAcentral describes it as "sRNA HanXRQr2_Chr13g0608251". Lineage: Eukaryota; Viridiplantae; Streptophyta; Magnoliopsida; Asterales; Asteraceae. The record is from RNAcentral.